AAAUAUAGAUGUUGAAAUGAAUUAAUUCGAAGAGAGAUUACACUUAAUUGCGCUGUCAAUAUAUCUUGAUCAUUAUGUAUAAGAUUAUUACAAAAGAUUACACAUAAUGAACGUAUGUAGAUGUAGAUAGUUUAGGAUGGUGAUUACUUUAGAAAAAUAAGAAACUUAAUUACUAAGAGAUAAAAACAAUAAAUUAAUAUCCAAAUAUUUUCUCUCAGAUAAUAAAAUAGGAGGAGCAUUGCAGCCACGUGUCAUCUUGAUCUCAUCAGUAUUUCUAAUUUAUUAUUACUCCUUUGAAAACUUCUCUAUAUUCAAACACCAAACCCAAUCAUUACAAUUCACUCACCUCAAGUAAAUGCCCUUCUUUCUGUCACUAAACACGAAAUGAGUACUACAUUGCAAAAAUAAAAAAUAAAAUAUAAAAUAUAAGAAUUGAAAACGUCACCUUCUCUCUCUCUCUCUCUCUCUCUCUCUCUCUCUCUCUCCCUAACGCUUCAUCCGUACUCAUGGCCGUUUUUCUUUCGCUCAUUCCUCCCGAUCCCAAACCACCCUUCUCUUUGUCCAUCCUCUGAAUUUCCAUAUCCAUCUCCUUAUUCGCUUUCUAAAUAUUCUUCUCCAUUUUCUUGUUGUGCGUAUAUCUCAAUUUGUUCCUUUCGUUUUUUUUUGUUUUUUCCAUGGAGUCGGCGAACGUUGCUGGCUUCGCUCUAAAAACCCUAAUUCGGGUGUGAAAUUGGUGAGAGGCAAACUCAUCGGUGGAGAAUGACGAUUGUGACCGGAGAUCGGUACCUGGUGAAGUUGGUGGAGUUCGUGGAGGAGCAAGCGGGUCCUCUCAUCGAAGAAACCAAGGUGUUGAAGCUGAAUCCGGCGGGCCUCCACUACGUGCAAUCGAGGUUAGAGGCGCUGCACGAGGUCGAGAACCUCCUUGCUGGCGCUCCGGUGGACUACCUGAGAGCGUACGUGUCGGACCUCGGCGACCACCGCGCCCUGGAGCAGCUCCGGCGGAUCCUGCGCCUCCUCACCUCGCUCAAAAUCUUUUCGGUGCUGCCUCAUCCUAUUAGGGAUCCCACUCCCUUGUCCUUCUUGCCGUUUGGGAGCUUGAAGGUUCUGGAGCUCAGGGAUUGUGACUUGUCCACUUCCGCCGCCAAAGGCCUUCUUGAGCUCAGGCACACGCUCGAGAAGAUCAUUUGUCAUAACUCUACUAAUGCUCUGCGGCAUGUGUUUGCUAGCAGGAUAAAGGAGGUGAAGAAUUCUCCUCAGUGGAACCGCCUGUCGUUUGUGUCAUGUGCGUGUAAUGGCUUGGUUCUCAUGGACGAGUCUCUGCAGCUUCUUCCUGCGGUUGAAACACUGGACCUUAGUAGGAACAAGUUCGCAAAGGUGGAUAAUCUGCAGAAGUGUACCAAAUUGAAGCAUUUGGACCUUGGUUUCAAUCACUUGAGAACAUGUGCACCCUUCACCCGGGUUUCCCCUCAAAUUGUUAAACUAGUUUUGAGGAACAAUGCUCUAACUACUUUGCGUGGAAUUGAGAAUUUGAAGUCACUUGAAGGACUUGAUCUUUCCUACAAUAUUGUUUCCAAUUUUUCAGAGCUAGAGUUCGUUGCGGGCCUUCCAUUUCUUCAAAGCUUGUGGUUGGAAGGAAAUCCUUUGUGUUGUGCUCGAUGGUAUAGAGCACAUGUAUUCAGCUUUUUUGCCUUCCCAGAAAGGCUGAAAUUAGAUGAGAAAGAAAUUAACACUAGUGAUUUUUGGAAGAGACAAAUAAUUAUUGCCAGUAUGCAUAAGCAACCUGCCAGUUUUGGGAUUUAUGUACCUGCAAAGGAUGAGGCUGUAGCUGAAGGUGCCAAUAUGAGAAGGAGAAAGGCCUGUCGUCUUGUCAGUAUCAGAAAUGAAGAAGAGACCACUAGCAUAUAUUCUGAGGAAGACUCUGGGUCUUGUGCUAAUGAUAUUAUUCAAAAUAGAGAGGAUCCUGAUUUAUCUGACAAUGAACCUGAAAUAGUAGAUUUGAUAAAUAGAAUUGAACAUAUGAAGAAAGAGCGUUCUAUUAAUUGGUUGAGGGAUUUUAAAGACUGGAUGGAUAUUGCUCCUGACAAAUCAGUGCAGACUAUGAAAGAAGGCAGCACCACACCCCAUCAGAAGGGAAAUUACAUCAGAAACAAGACACAUCUCGAGCAGUCUGGUGAAGUCUCUAGAUAUGCUUCAGACUCCGUUCUAGCGUCAGGGGAUGACAGUAGCAUGAAUAUUUUAGAAUCUGAUAGUUCUUUUGUAGAUACAUCUGCUAGUUUUCAUAGGCCACAACACUUUGACUAUAGAAAUUUGCUUGGUAAUGCCAGUGGGGCCUCACUUUUUGACUCGGGAGGAGUGGACAUGGAGAAGCUUAAAUCCUCACUUGAGGGCAUUGGCAGUUCACUUUCACAAACUAGAAGUUCUCAUGCUGACACCGUUACCACUGAAGGGGCACAAAGAAUGACUGAAAAUGUCAACAUGUCACCAUUGACUAUUAUUCAUGAUAUAUAUGGGUCUCAGUCAUCAUCUGCUUGCCCAGCAUCUCCUCCUCAUUUUCAAGAAGACCUUCUUCAUCGCCGGCAACACCUGGUAGAAGAAAUUUUGCAGCUUUCGACAGAUUCCUUUUCAGUAGCAUCUUCUGAUAGUAACACAAGCUGUAGUGAAGUUGAUUGUGUUGAAUUUGAGCCAUCAGUUUCAGAAGUUGAUAAUCCCCAAUGUAAAACUUAUGUGAAUGGUGUUGGCAGUCAUUUAUCUCAAAGUCAGCUUAAGGAAAAGUUUUGCAACCCAAGACAAGAAAAUGCUCUUGAAAGAGAAAAUGGAAUUUCUUCUUGUAGUUCCUCCUCUGAUCAAAUUUCUAAGCAGCAUGCGAUUGAUUUUGCUGAGAAUGCAUGUUGUGCUAGCCAAGACACUGGUUUGUUGGAGAAAAGAAAAAUCAGAAAAAAAGCCAAAAAAAGAAUUAUUUCAGUACUAAAAGAGAAAUUAGAUGGCAAUGCUUCUGAUGAUACACUAGAGAAGACAAGUCUGGGACAUAUUUCUGCAAAUUUAAAGCAAGAAUUGGAUGAUUUUAUAGUGACAUAUUUCAAUACAACUGUUGCUGAUUCUGAAGCCAGUGAGGUCUGUAGUCAUUGUAUGCGCUGUAAUUGUGUCCUUCAGAGGGAGACAAACUAUAAAGAAAGUGAAGUUGCAGUAUUACUGAGCAGCCAUAAGAAGCUCUAUUUGCUACUGAUCAACGUUACUUCUGAUGGGUCAGGUACAAUUUUGAAGGUGUUGAGUUCCCACAAUAUUGAAGAAGUUUGCGAGGUGCAAGUAGGAAUGGGAUUUCAGGUGUUAAGGGUAAAUUUUGAGAAUGGGGAAACGUAUCUUUUUGUCACAAGAAGCAUUGAGAAGUCAAUAGAAUUACUAUGCACCAUACAUGUGCUUGAUUCAAGUGAUGGAAAUGAUAGAUGCUCAAUAAGAAGGUCCAGGUUGGGUUGUUUGACAAACAAGUAUGUGGUGGUUCAAAUGUGAGCAUAUAUCAGUAUGCAAUGGUGCUCGUUUUUUGUAAAAAUGGAAGUGAGGAAUCAUGGCUGUCGAGAUCACUCUUUGUGAUUGGAGGGUAUGUGCUUUUAUGCAUUGAAGAUGUUAAGCAGCUGUACUUUUUUUCAUCAGAUGCGUCCGUGUCUCCCUAUUUCAGAAUUGAUUCAUGUUGCUCCAUUGCUGACAUUACGGAGAUGGUUAUUGAGGGUGGUAGCUGCUGUGUGACUUUAAGUCUGACAUGUCCACUGGCUGAACUCCAUCCAUUUACCCAAAUGAACCUUGAAUCUGUGAAUCACGAAAAUUCGGCUCCUGGCUCUCUUAAAUUGAAGCUUCAGUGGUUCUCCAGAAAUUACCUUGUGAAGUUUGUGUCAUUGUUGAAGGCAAUCCAUGAAAAAAAAACGGGGUCACCUUUGGUAGUAAGAUGCAUAUCGUAAAUCAUUUUUGCUUUGUGUUAGUUCAUAUUAAUUUCAUUCAUUUUGUUUUUUAUUUUCAUAUUCUUUUUAUGUCAAUUAGUUUGUUUGCUUGGUGUGUUGAGUCUGUAAUAGUUUCCUUCCCCUUAUUCUUUGAUUUGUGUCCAGUCUGUGGCUGUUCUUUUUCUGUGUAUAGAAUUGUAUAGCAUCAAUACUAGAGACCACUUCUCUACAA
Vigna unguiculata (cowpea) is the source of this 4158-nucleotide RNA transcript. RefSeq lists it as uncharacterized. The record is from RefSeq and is a predicted model, not a curated record. NCBI's taxonomy places the organism in Eukaryota, Viridiplantae, Streptophyta, Magnoliopsida, Fabales, Fabaceae.